AAAUUGAAGAGUUUGAUCAUGGCUCAGAUUGAACGCUGGCGGCAGGCCUAACACAUGCAAGUCGAACGGUAACAGAAAGCAGCUUGCUGCUUUGCUGACGAGUGGCGGACGGGUGAGUAAUGUCUGGGAAACUGCCUGAUGGAGAGGGAUAACUACUGGAAACGGUAGCUAAUACCGCAUAACGUCGCAAGACCAAAGAGGGGGACCUUCGGGCCUCUUGCCAUCGGAUGUGCCCAGAUGGGAUUAGCUAGUAGGUGGGGUAACGGCUCACCUAGGCGACGAUCCCUAGCUGGUCUGAGAGGAUGACCAGCCACACUGGAACUGAGACACGGUCCAGACUCCUACGGGAGGCAGCAGUGGGGAAUAUUGCACAAUGGGCGCAAGCCUGAUGCAGCCAUGCCGCGUGUAUGAAGAAGGCCUUCGGGUUGUAAA
This 432-nucleotide ribosomal RNA is filed under the name Escherichia coli. RNAcentral describes it as "bacterial SSU rRNA". It matches the Rfam family "Bacterial small subunit ribosomal RNA", at positions 1 to 429 of the family's 1533-position model. The record is from RNAcentral. Lineage: Bacteria; Pseudomonadati; Pseudomonadota; Gammaproteobacteria; Enterobacterales; Enterobacteriaceae.